GACGGGUGAGUAACACGUGGGUAACCUGCCCUUAAGUGGGGGAUAACAUUUGGAAACAGAUGCUAAUACCGCAUAGAUCCAAGAACCGCAUGGUUCUUGGCUGAAAGAUGGCGUAAGCUAUCGCUUUUGGAUGGACCCGCGGCGUAUUAGCUAGUUGGUGAGGUAAUGGCUCACCAAGGCGAUGAUACGUAGCCGAACUGAGAGGUUGAUCGGCCACAUUGGGACUGAGACACGGCCCAAACUCCUACGGGAGGCAGCAGUAGGGAAUCUUCCACAAUGGACGCAAGUCUGAUGGAGCAACGCCGCGUGAGUGAAGAAGGCUUUCGGGUCGUAAAACUCUGUUGUUGGAGAAGAAUGGUCGGCAGAGUAACUGUUGUCGGCGUGACGGUAUCCAACCAGAAAGCCACGGCUAACUACGUGCCAGCAGCCGCGGUAAUACGUAGGUGGCAAGCGUUAUCCGGAUUUAUUGGGCGUAAAGCGAGCGCAGGCGGUUUUUUAAGUCUGAUGUGAAAGCCCUCGGCUUAACCGAGGAAGCGCAUCGGAAACUGGGAAACUUGAGUGCAGAAGAGGACAGUGGAACUCCAUGUGUAGCGGUGAAAUGCGUAGAUAUAUGGAAGAACACCAGUGGCGAAGGCGGCUGUCUGGUCUGUAACUGACGCUGAGGCUCGAAAGCAUGGGUAGCGAACAGGAUUAGAUACCCUGGUAGUCCAUGCCGUAAACGAUGAAUGCUAGGUGUUGGAGGGUUUCCGCCCUUCAGUGCCGCAGCUAACGCAUUAAGCAUUCCGCCUGGGGAGUACGACCGCAAGGUUGAAACUCAAAGGAAUUGACGGGGGCCCGCACAAGC
RNAcentral lists this ribosomal RNA (844 nucleotides) under Lacticaseibacillus paracasei subsp. tolerans. Its description in RNAcentral is "bacterial SSU rRNA". It matches the Rfam family "Bacterial small subunit ribosomal RNA", at positions 100 to 930 of the family's 1533-position model. The record is from RNAcentral. Lineage: Bacteria; Bacillati; Bacillota; Bacilli; Lactobacillales; Lactobacillaceae.